This 6764-nucleotide long non-coding RNA is filed under the name Nicotiana benthamiana. RNAcentral describes it as "long non-coding RNA (NBEN_LNC015962)". Lineage: Eukaryota; Viridiplantae; Streptophyta; Magnoliopsida; Solanales; Solanaceae. The record is from RNAcentral.
AACUGCAAUUUGCAGGUCCAUCUCAUUCCCUCCUAUUUGUUAUGUGUGUUGCUAAUUUUCAUGCGUUAUGAUUGAAUUACAUGAUACAAUUUAAUAUUACUGGUUGGAUGUUGAAACUGCUUGAAUGCAUGGAUUAACAUGAAUUGUGGGGACACGGAAAGUAAGCUUAUUAGUAUUUAAUUCACAUUGUUCUUCAUAAUUAGAAAUUAAACGAAGAACCAUGUGCUGAAUUGUUAUUUUUAGUUUUACUUUAUUUUAUCACUUAAUCGUUAGGAGCAUGCUUAGGCCGACCACAUUUUUGCUAGGCAAGACUUAGGAUAUUUUUUAGUUUUUGAGGCGAAAGGUUGUUCUCUUAGUUAAAUUUAAGCGGGGAAUGCCCGAAGGAUUUGUAUAUAUUUUAUUCGGGGCAUGCCACGAAGUACAUGUAAAUAAAGGCCAGAGAUUGGAUGACGUGAGGAUGCGUAGAAUAGAACUUUAAUAUUUUUUUAUUUAUUUUUAUCUUUUUAGGUGGGGACGACCAUUAGCCUAUUGUGCUUAUUUUUUUGUAUGUCUUUACCUCAAUUGAAUAUUUUAAAAGCUAAGUAGAUCAAGUAUGCAACCGCGACUUUCACGGGACAUGGGGAGUACCUAACACCUUUUCCAGAGUCAAAUGAACCCCCUUACUCGAAUCUCUGGUGCGGACUUGGUUUUAGAGUCUAAAUUGUUCUAAAUAAAAAAUUAUUUUAAAAAACGGUAACCUAGCAUACCAAAAACAAAUGUCAGGUGGCGACUCUGAGUUAAUCAUUUUGAAAACAAUUUUUUCACUUUUCAAAUUGGAAAACCUUUUUCAAGCUUUACUAAAUCUUUUUCAUAUUUUUAAGAGGGUUAGAGAGGUUUGGUUAAAAAAGGGGUGUGACAUCUCUAGCGACUCCGCCGGGGAAUUACAGGUUCGAGCUAGUACUUGAUCUUAUUAGCUUUUAGGAUAUUUGGUUGAGGUGUUUGUUUUAUUUAUUUACUUUGUUUAUUUGCUUUGUUUGUCUUAUUUUCUUGUUUUGUUGGUUAUUUAUUUAUCUCUUUUCUUGAUGUGUUACUGGCUUACUGCUUUAUAAACUGUCAUCAUUUGCAUAAUUAUGGGUCUUCUUUCUGCAACAAGUCUCGGAGUACAUGUCGCAUGCACGAACUCUUUGUCGAGUCACACUUUAUUUAGGAGGGGGGCUGUCAGACGUAUGGAGUUGGUGGAAAGCUUGAGCAGCCACCAUCAACCACAGGCUCUCCCCAAUUGCCUUGUUACUGAACCCCAAACUUAGGUCAGCCUUUAGGUCAUUUUUAUUUGCAUCAUGUCAUUUACACUUAAUAGGGCUCAGUCUUAGGCACCAUGUCCUUGUGUAGGAAGAUUAUCCAAGUUUUGUCAAGAUGGGCAUGUGGCCCAAAAAGACAUUCAACCAUCCCUAUGUGAUACAUGUUGCAUCAUUAAGGGUAAAAAGGUCAUUUGGUAGACCGAUGUUUGAGAAAGAACAGUAAAAAAUGAAACAAGUAGGGUCCACUCCCAUUUUUUCAUAGUUUUCUAAAAAUCAAAAAACAAAUGAAAAUGAAAAAUUCAAAAAAAUAUUUUACACUUUUCCAUUAUUUUCCAAAUAAAAAAAUAAAAAAAGAAAAUCUAAAAGGAUUUUACACUUUUCCAUUAUUUUCCGAAAUUCAAAAAAGAAAGAGAAAAAAAAAGAAAAUCCAAUAAGAUUUUAGAUUUUCCAUUAUUUUCCAAAAAAUCAAAAAAAAAAAGAAAAUCCAAAAAGAUUUUAUAUUUUUCAUCAUUUUCAAAAAGAAAAAAAUAUGUAAUGCAGCUUUUUCAAAUUAGAUGCAUUUUUAAAAAAUUAUAUCCUAUAUUUAUUCUUCCCGAACUACGCAAACUUGAUUCUAAUUUCUUAGGGAGAGAUACGUAAGAAACUCACAUAGGGUCAUGUCUUCCUAAUGAGCCCUAGGUUCUUGGUUUCGCGGGGUCUUAGCCAAAGCUUGCAUGUCAAACUACUUUUGGCAACAUCGGCCAUUCUUGCAAAAUGGGGUCAUUUUCAUAAAUAAUGGUUAAUAAACCAUGUCUUAGGAUCUUGAGUCCACAACUAGGUGUCAUAUUAAUUUAAGGUUCGUCCUUAUUGAGUUUGCAUCUUUAGCCACUUCUGGCCAUAUCGGUCAUUUUUUAAAAUGGGUCAUUUUUGCAAAUUAAUUUUGGGCCAUGAUUAUUGAGAGUUGAAUCCAAAUAAGCAUUAGUAGGGUAUUUUCGUAUUUGAGUAGUCAUCCAUGUUGAGUUUGCACUUCUGGCCAUUUUUGGCCAUAUAGUUUAAUUUUCAAAAAAUAGCUCAAUCGUGUCUUGCAUAUGUAUUAUUAGGAGGUGUUAUGGUGUCUCAUAGUGUUUUGAGUCAAUGAUCUAUUUGGUUUUAUUUUGCUCAUUCAGGUAUGGAUUCAUGUAUCACAGCUCGAGCAUGACAUAUACCCCAGGACCACUGCAUACAUGAGCUACUUCAUGCGUUUUUUAUAUUUUGAGCAUGCUUUGAAUCUUUUAAGUGGCUUAAGAGUUUAUCUAAUCUUUUGUUAUCAUACUUUAUAUAUUUGAAAACCAAAAAAAGUUAUAAAUGAAAAAUCCAAAAAGAGUUUUUAUUUUUAGUUCAAUUUAUCCAUUACUUACCCAGAACUAUACUUGAUCUAAUUCAUGAGGGGCAUGAUACGUAGGAAACCUACAUAAGGUUCGAUCGAAUUAUUUUUUCAAAAAUCAAAAAAAAAGAGAGAAUGAAGUUGUGGGACAUAAGAAAUGACGGAAAUAAAAGAGCAACAAUCAGAAAGAAAUGCGAGGAAAGAAAAGAGAAGAUGGAAAUGAACAAAUUGGGAUGAUGCCAAAUGGCCUUGUGACCCCCGAAGCCAUUCUAGAAUCGUUAAUUGUUGCUAGGGGCAUUGCACGCAUAUGAUAUUUUUAUCUGAUAAAUGUCCUAACGCUAACAUGUUGGCUUUGUUUUGCUACUCUUUGUUGCUUUUAUUAUAACAGAGGGUGGUUAGUUUAUGGCACUUUGGUGAUUUAUCCAUACAACAUAAAGUCAAAAUGCAAGGACGCCAUGGCUAGCAAAUACUUGGAUAUAGGAGUUGUCGACCCCUCGAGGGAGAAUGUGGAAUCAAAAUUUGAACUAAACAAGGAGGUCCGAAGGCUGAAACAACAAAUGUCUGAAAUGUGUCAAGCAUGGGCCAAUGGUCAAGGUCCACCCCUUUCUUAUGCUUUUCCAGAGUUUACACCCAUCUCGUCUACUACCACUCUGGUUUCAUUGUCCGAUCAAUUUUAUCUAUUUAGGUUCAGUCUUUAUCCAAAUUGCACGACUAUAGCUGGAAAUUCUGUUGCGUACUCCCAAAGUGUGCCAUUGACAACCAAUCAGACAACCACAAUAGUUAUGCCUGUCUUCACCAAACCAUGACCAGCGAUGGCGCAGAGGAAAACUCAUGAGUCACAAUUUACAACCCAGUAAGAACAAUAUCACUCCCCUAAGUACCACUCUUACAUAUUUGAUCUUCCUGCAAAGAUUGAGAAGUCUGGCCUAAUGGUAGCAUCGGAAUAAAUAACCCAAAGACUGAAAAGCUUAGAACAGCAGUUGAAAAACAUGCAAGGGCCGACAUGUGAGAAGAGUAUUACCUUCAAGGAUCUAUGUAUAUUCCCCGAUGUUCGUUUGCCACUUGGUUUCAAGACUUCAAAAUUUGAAAUGUAUGAUGGACAUGGAGAACCCAUAGCCCACCUAAAAAGGUAUUGCAAUAAACUGAGAGGUGCGGGAGGAAGUAAGAAUUACUAAUGGUUUAUCUUGGGGAAAGCCUUACGGGUGUAGCCUCCAAAUGGUUUAUGGGUCAAGACAAAUCUUGCUAGUAUGUCUGUGUGACGACCUGACCCAUCGUCACGUGAGUUACCACCUGUUUCCCCCAUUUUCUUGUUCUUUAUACUUCAUUAUCAGCGUCGUGUGUGAUGGGGUUGAUUUGGAUUGAUUUUAGAAGGAAAUGAGACGCUUAGUCUCUUUAAGGAAGGGUUGUUUUAGAAAAGUCAACCGAACAUUGACUUAUGUGUUAGGAGGCUCGGAUGUGAAUUUCGAUGAUUCGAUUAGCUUCGGUGGAUGAUUUGUGACUUAGAAGUGUGAUCGGAAGUGAUUUUGGAGGUCCGGUGUAGAAUUAGGCUUGAANNNNNNNNNNNNNNNNNNNNNNNNNNNNNNNNNNNNNNNNNNNNNNNNNNNNNNNNNNNNNNNNNNNNNNNNNNNNNNNNNNNNNNNNNNNNNNNNNNNNNNNNNNNNNNNNNNNNNNNNNNNNNNNNNNNNNNNNNNNNNNNNNNNNNNNNNNNNNNNNNNNNNNNNNNNNNNNNNNNNNNNNNNNNNNNNNNNNNNNNNNNNNNNNNNNNNNNNNNNNNNNNNNNNNNNNNNNNNNNNNNNNNNNAAUGAAGUUAGUAUUUUGGCGAAUUCCGGUUGAUAGGUGAGAUUUUGAUCAGAGGGUCGGAAUAGAAUUUUGAGAGUUGUUGUAGCUUUGUUAGGUGAUUUGGGAUGUGUGUGUAAAAUUUCAGGUCAUUCGGAGGUGAUUUGGUUGUGUUUUUUAUCGAAUGCAUGUUUCGGAAGUUUUUGAAGAACUUAGGCUUCAAUUUGAUGUAAUUUGAUGGUUAUGGUGUUGUCUGCAGUAUUUUAAUAAUUGGAUCAAGUUUGAAUGAUGUUAUAGGAGGUGUUGGUGCUUUUGGUUGAGGUCCUGGGGGCGUCGAGGUGAUUUCGGAUGGUUAACGGGAAGUUUUGGACUUGUGAAAUUGGAAAAUUGUUGCUGCUUCUGGUAUUUUUGCAAAUGCGGAUUUGGGACCGCGGAAAUGGACUUGCAGAUGCAGAAGGAUAGAUCACAGAUGCGAAGUUUGGCUUGGGGAGCUGUUUCCGCAAAAGCGGACGAGGAACCACAUUUGUGAUACCACAGAAUGCGGCAUUGGAAUAGCAGAAGCGGAGUUUAGACCUUAGGGAAUUUCUGUAGAAGUGGAGCUGGGUCGGCAGAAUCGGAAACCGCAUAUGCAGAAAUGGACUGCAGAUGCGGUUCUAGACCUAAAGUGAGGAGAUUGUGACCGCAGAUGCGGUUUUGCCUGGGCAGAAAUAUUUAAGUUCAUCUUCACUAAUUUUUGAAGGGUUUCUCAUUCUAACUGCGGACUUGGAGUACUGUGGGCGAUUUUGAAGAGGAUUUUCAAGGAGCUUUGAUAAGGUAAGGAUUCUUGGACUUAAAAACACAAUUUUAUGGUGCAAAUAUAUGGAUUAGGGCUGAAAACUUAAGAAAUUAAUGGACAAAAAUGGUGAAUUAGGGCUUGAACUUAAGAGAGAGAAAUUGGGAUUUGAGGGGUCAUUUGGACUCUGAUUUUGGAGUUCUUUAUAUGAAUAGACUCGUGGAGAGAUAAAGAACCCGUUGAUGUAAGAAUUUUUGAGUUUCGAGAAGUGGGCCCGGGCUCGGGUUUUGCUAAUUUUGAGAUUUUGGCUAUUUUCGAUUAUUUUCGAUUGGGUGUUCCGUUGGCAUAUUGUGAUGUAUUCGUUGUGGUUUUGAUCAGAUUCGACGCGCGAGGAGGUCGAUUUGAGAGGCAAGGGCAUAGCGAGCUAGGAUUUGGCCGGCUUGAGGUGAGUAAUAGAUGUAAAUGAUGUCCUAAGGGUUUGAAACCCCAAAAUUAAACAUCGUAGUGCUACAUGUAGGUGACUUGCACGUCGUAUAGCGAACGUGGGGUAGAGUACCGUUGGGGAUUGUGACUUGGUCCGUCCCGAUAGAUGAAUUUACUGCAUAUUUGACUGAAUAUCACAUGUUAUCAUUAUGAUUUGAGCUGAUUGUCAUAUUUGGGCUUCGUGCCAAUUGAUUGAAUCCUUCAGGGAUUGCUAUUUCUGGUUUCUUACCAUUUUUACAUAUUAUUGAACUCAGUCUUGGUACUUAAUAUUAUUUUUCAAACUCAACCAUUUUUUCUCAAACUUGAAACUUAAAUAAUAUUUCUAAUGAAGGUUGGGCUGAAUAUUUAUAUAUUAUUGUGCCUGAGGGGCUUAUGUGAUUCUGGACUGAGUAUGGGAUCGGGUUGCGCGCCGAAGUGGUAUUAUAUUGAUAUUGAUAUGAGGCCGAGGGCCUAGUUGAUGCCACAAGAUGGCUUAUAUUGUGCUUGGGCCGUAAGGGGCCUCUCUCGGAGUCUGCACACCCCAGUGAGCGUCGUCGAUGAUAAAUUAAUAGAGCGGACUGCACACCGCAGCGGGUACUAGAGAGUACCAGACUAUGUGUUGCAUUUCCUAUUUGACUGUUAUUUACUUAUUUAUCUGUUGCAAUAUUUCCUUAAUUGUUUUCAUUGGUUUACGUACUUUAUACCACUUGGUUUACAAUGCUGCAUUUAUAGAAUUACUUUGUGCCUAUUCAGGAUUUUUUAUCCUCAGCCUUUAUUUAUGUUUAUUACUCACUGGGUCAGAGUACUAACAUUACUCCCUACACCUUUUGUGCAGAUACAGGUACAUCUGAGGUUGAGUGAGGACUUCUCUGCCGAGUAGCUUAUCCGGGUGCGUCAAGGUAGUUACAUGACGUCCGCAAUCAUAAUUUUCCCUUUUAUCAUACUGAUUCAUUUCCACAUUUCUUUAGAACGAUAUUUAGUAGGUAGAUACUCAUGUAUUAGAGGCUCAAACUUGUGACAUCAGAUUCUUCGGGUUGUGUAGUAGAUUUGGUAACUGGGAUUUCCGCAUGUUUUAACUAUAUUUCAGAAUUUCAGUAUGAUGACUUAGUAAUUUAUAUGUGUUAAUUAAUUCAUG